GAUGAAGAACGUAGCAAAAUGCGAUAAGUAAUGUGAAUUGCAGAAUUCAGUGAAUCAUCGAAUCUUUGAACGCACAUUGCGCCCGCUGGUAUUCCGGCGGGCAUGCCUGUUCGAGCGUCAUUUCAACCCUCAAGCCCCCGGGUUUGGUGUUGGGGAUCGGCUCUGCCCUUCUGGGCGGUGCUGCCCCCGAAAUACAUUGGCGGUCUCGCUGCAGCCUCCAUUGCGUAGUAGCUAACACCUCGCAACUGGAACGCGGCGCGGCCAUGCCGUAAAACCCCAACUUCUGAAUGUUGACCUCGGAUCAGGUAGGAAUACCCGCUGAACUUAAGCAUAUCAAUAAGCGGAGGA
This 348-nucleotide unclassified non-coding RNA is filed under the name soil metagenome. Its description in RNAcentral is "partial contains 5.8S ribosomal RNA, internal transcribed spacer 2, and large subunit ribosomal RNA". The stretch from base 1 to 120 matches the Rfam family "5.8S ribosomal RNA", at positions 35 to 154 of the family's 154-position model. The record is from RNAcentral.